GACGAACGCUGGCGGCGUGCUUAACACAUGCAAGUCGAACGGUAAGGCCCUUCGGGGUACACGAGUGGCGAACGGGUGAGUAACACGUGGGUGAUCUGCCCUGCACUUCGGGAUAAGCCUGGGAAACUGGGUCUAAUACCGGAUAGGACCACUGCCUGCAUGGGUGGUGGUGGAAAGCUUUUGCGGUGUGGGAUGGGCCCGCGGCCUAUCAGCUUGUUGGUGGGGUGAUGGCCUACCAAGGCGACGACGGGUAGCCGGCCUGAGAGGGUGACCGGCCACACGGGGACGGAGAUACGGCCCAGACUCCUACGGGAGGCAGCAGUGGGGAAUAUUGCACAAUGGGCGCAAGCCUGAUGCAGCGACGCCGCGUGAGGGAUGACGGCCUUCGGGUUGUAAACCUCUUUCAGCACCGACGAAGCGCAAGUGACGGUAGGUGCAGAAGAAGGACCGGCCAACUACGUGCCAGCCGCCGCAGUAA
Molecule: ribosomal RNA, 478 nt
Filed under: uncultured bacterium
Lineage: Bacteria
Description: partial 16S ribosomal RNA
Rfam family: Bacterial small subunit ribosomal RNA
Source: RNAcentral